RNAcentral lists this transfer RNA (72 nucleotides) under Camelus bactrianus (Bactrian camel). It matches the Rfam family "tRNA". From Rfam's summary of the family: Transfer RNA (tRNA) molecules are approximately 80 nucleotides in length. Their secondary structure includes four short double-helical elements and three loops (D, anti-codon, and T loops). RNAcentral also lists the same sequence under 1 other name. The record is from Rfam by way of RNAcentral. Lineage: Eukaryota; Metazoa; Chordata; Mammalia; Artiodactyla; Camelidae.
GAAGGUAGAGCUCAGUGGUAGAGCAUGCGCUUAGCAUGACCAAGGUCCUGGGUUCAGUCCCCAGUACCUCCA